UCCUUAGAUGUCCUGGGCCGCACGCGUGCUACACUGAUGCAUACAGCGAGUACUCCCAGCUCCGAGAGGCUGCUGGUAAUCAGCAAUAUGCAUCGUGAUGGGGAUAGAUCUUUGGAAUUAUAGAUCUUGAACGAGGAAUUCCUAGUAAUCGCAGGUCAUCACCCUGCGUUGACUAAGUCCCUGCCCUUUGUACACACCGCCCGUCGCUCCUACCGAUUUCGAGUGAUCCGGUGAAUCAUUCGGACCGCGGCCCCUAGGCAUGCGGAAAGUCUAGUAAACCAUAUCACUUAGAGGAAGGAGAAGUCGUAACA
RNAcentral lists this ribosomal RNA (311 nucleotides) under uncultured eukaryote. RNAcentral's name for it is "partial 18S ribosomal RNA". It matches the Rfam family "Eukaryotic small subunit ribosomal RNA", at positions 1470 to 1796 of the family's 1831-position model. The record is from RNAcentral.